Molecule: long non-coding RNA, 268 nt
Filed under: Gallus gallus (chicken)
Lineage: Eukaryota; Metazoa; Chordata; Aves; Galliformes; Phasianidae
Source: RNAcentral
CGGCCCGCCGCUCCCAGCUCAGCUCCGGCAGGGCCGGGUGCCGCCGAGCCGGGACCUCGGGGUCGGGGCAGGGGUGCGCGGGGGGAGCCGUGCGCCGAGGGGCGCCGGCGCUCCGAGCGGCCCGCCCGGGAUUAUGCAGGCUCUGCGCCGCGGGCCCGGGGAUGCCCAGAGCCGCAGAGACCUCAUCUGAGUGGGUGGAGCAACAGAGCUCUUGGCAGCACCAGCACGGGACAAGCACGAGACAUUCGGACUCUGAAGAGGACACGGG